Molecule: small nucleolar RNA, 108 nt
Organism: Dioscorea cayenensis subsp. rotundata (Guinea yam)
Lineage: Eukaryota; Viridiplantae; Streptophyta; Magnoliopsida; Dioscoreales; Dioscoreaceae
Source: RefSeq, a predicted model, not a curated record
AAUCUGUGUUGUGGGCACCUCUGCAAAAAGAUCUUUGAAGUGCUCCCAUGUCUCAAACAAUAAUUCCAACUCCAUCUAUGCAAACGAUGAUAUCUCAUUGCAAAGCUU